UACGAAGGGGGCUAGCGUUGCUCGGAAUCACUGGGCGUAAAGCGCACGUAGGCGGACUCUUAAGUCGGUGGUGAAAUCCUGGAGCUCAACUCCAGAACUGCCUUCGAUACUGAGAGUCUCGAGUCCGAGAGAGGUGAGUAGAACUGCGAGUGUAGAGGUGAAAUUCGUAGAUAUUCGCAAGAACACCAGUGGCGAAGGCGGCUCACUGGCUCGGUACUGACGCUGAGGUGCGAAAGCGUGGGGAGCAACAGG
RNAcentral lists this ribosomal RNA (252 nucleotides) under uncultured bacterium. Its description in RNAcentral is "partial 16S ribosomal RNA". It matches the Rfam family "Bacterial small subunit ribosomal RNA", at positions 524 to 775 of the family's 1533-position model. The record is from RNAcentral.